AGAACACAAAAUGUUUGUAAAGUUACUCUGUAUCAUCAAAAAAAGUACCUUGUAUUCCUCAGCUUCCAUGUCAUCUUGAGCAACGCUUCCUUCUAAAGGUGUGAAUUUAUUCAGUCUCGGGGCAACAAAAAAGAAAGAAAAAUAAUAAUCUGCACCCAAAAGCCAAUGAAGUAUUUCACACAGCUGUCCCAAAGGGCGGCUUCCAGUGAAGCCUAACGAUAAAGCUACUAAAGCUACGUGACAUCAAACCAGCCCAUUAACGCAUUCACCUUUGCUCUAAAACGCUCGUCAAAGGUUGUGUCAUUGAAAAAAAAAACAGAAGACAACCAUCGUCCUGUUCCACGUCAAAUGCUGCAACAAAUUGGAGCCGUACUGUGAUUAACACAGGGGCACAAUCAACCUGUCUGUAAUGGGACACCUUUCACCUUCAUCUCCAAAACAGUAUCCCCCGCCAGAUAGAAUGUAUCUUCCCGUAGCGAUAAUAAUCUCAAAAUCUUCCAACUACAACGAUAUAACCCUCAUCUCCGCCAACGUGAGCUGCUGGCUGUGACGAGAUUGAUGUCAAGCGUGUCUCAAAAGCGGCCGUUGAUUGUUGGUGCCGUUAGGAUGUGCCUUGCUGUCGCAAUCUCAGCUAACGCCUGGUGGAGGUGGACCGUGCUUUCUGAUUGGAAAAAAAAACGAACGGGAAUAUCUUCUGUUAACAAUCAGUUGUUGAAGAUAUCGGGCGCUUUCAUUGCCCGGUCACAUUAUAGCCGUAAUGAGACAUUUUGCCGCUGUUCACUCGAUAGGACAAUUGAUUCUUGGGCAUAAGAUGUGUUGAAAAGACAACUUGCUCCGUUUUUCGGC
Long non-coding RNA from Anopheles merus, 846 nucleotides. RefSeq lists it as uncharacterized. Lineage: Eukaryota; Metazoa; Arthropoda; Insecta; Diptera; Culicidae. The record is from RefSeq and is a predicted model, not a curated record. The transcript is spliced from 3 exons.